Molecule: ribosomal RNA, 375 nt
Filed under: uncultured bacterium
Lineage: Bacteria
Description: bacterial SSU rRNA
Rfam family: Bacterial small subunit ribosomal RNA
Source: RNAcentral
UACGUAGGGAGCAAGCGUUGUCCGGAUUUACUGGGUGUAAAGGGCGUGCAGCCGGGAAGGCAAGUCAGAUGUGAAAUCCGUGGGCUUAACCCACGAACUGCAUUUGAAACUGCUUUUCUUGAGUAUCGGAGAGGUAAUCGGAAUUCCUAGUGUAGCGGUGAAAUGCGUAGAUAUUAGGAAGAACACCAGUGGCGAAGGCGGAUUACUGGACGACAACUGACGGUGAGGCGCGAAAGCGUGGGGAGCAAACAGGAUUAGAUACCCUGGUAGUCCACGCUGUAAACGAUCAAUACUAGGUGUGCGGGGACUGACCCCCUGCGUGCCGGAGUUAACACAAUAAGUAUUGCACCUGGGGAGUACGAUCGCAAGGUUGAA